Molecule: RNA transcript, 1559 nt
Organism: Helianthus annuus (common sunflower)
Lineage: Eukaryota; Viridiplantae; Streptophyta; Magnoliopsida; Asterales; Asteraceae
Gene name: phosducin-like protein 3
Exons: 4
Source: RefSeq, a predicted model, not a curated record
UUUUGUUUACAAACUACAAACCCCAUCUCUCACACAACUCUCUCUUCUUUUGCUUGGUGUUCUACAAUUUUUUUGAACGGGGUUAAUGGAGCUUCAUGACGGCGAUGGUCGCCGACCUCCGGAGUGCUUAACGGCAGGAUUAGGCUUUCGCCGCAUGUGGCGGUGAGGAUGCUGUAUUCCAGCAAUGGUGGUGGUUCAAAACGCCAUUAAACAUUCAGGUGAUGUAGGUGAAUAUGUGAGAGAAAGUAAGCUAUUGGAGAGAGAGAGAGAGAGUAGGGAAACGGUUGGUGGUUCACGGCGGAGCUUAGGGUUUCGGCAAUCUUCUCUCUUAUCCGAUCAAGACUCUGGUGAAUCUGAUAAGUUAGCUGAGAUGAAGCAAGAUGUGAAAAUCGCAAAGUUUGGUUCAAUCAUACCGAUUUCUGGAUCGAAUUUUGUUCAUGAGGUGUCACAAGCUUCAUCAGAUGUGUGGGUGGUUGUUGUGUUAUACAAAGAUGGGUAUCCUGAAUGUGGUGUUCUAAUGCAAUGUGUGAAAGAACUGGCAACAGUGUAUCCAGCAACAAAGUUUGUUCAAAUCUUGUCGACGGAUUGCAUUCCUAAUUAUCCGGAUUGUAAUCUUCCCACUGUGUUAGUUUAAAGCUCGAUUGCACUUAGGUACGACCAUUAUUUUCUACUUCAAUUGUUGUUCACAGUUUUUCUACCUUUGGUUUCGGCCAUUAUUUCGGAUCAAAUUCUUUAAAUCGAUAAAUGAAAUGCAAUAUUGUAAAUGGCCUUUUUGUAGGAUAAUUAGACUCACUGUUCACUUUGUAUGUUUUGAUGCUGAACGUAGCUUUCCUGAUGUUGUAGGUUCAUCCUUGAAGAACAUGUGUGCUUUCCUCAUUUCUUUUGUUGUUUGUUGUUCGCUUAGUUUAGUUAGGAUGAAAUUAUUUUUUUAAUAUGUCUUACCGUUCCAGACACUGAUACAGCCACCAAAUUGAAUUUCAUGUUCAAUCCAAUCACUUAUUUUCAAAUUGGGGAUUUCUUCAAUCACAAAAUAGAUGACUACUAAAAGGAGAAGGAAGGUUCGAUGUCGUGAAUGAAACCUCUGAGACUGCCGAAAUUAACAAAGCCAACGGCAUGGCCGCACUCACGGCAUCAGCAAGUGUCUUCUCUUUGAUGAAUAUGUUUGGGAUCUGCAUUUUAAAGCAUGGGCUCUACAGUUGAUAAGUCGUCGAACCAAACGUUACAAAUUUUACUAACAAUUAAUGUUUGUUGUCAUUUUAUUUGUACACGUGUCUAAUGAGCUUAAUUAUUCAGCUUUUUUCAGAAAUCACCUAUUGCAAUACAAUCGGCGCAUGGAGGAUGACGAUCUAUGUAGAAGAAAUGCGGAAGAGGAAGAAGCAAAGCGAGCUGAACUUAAAGAUUUUGGUUUUUUAAAUAUAUGAACUUAAAGAAACGCCAAUGGUAGGUUUAUUUUGGUUUAUUAAAUAUAAAGUUUCAAGCACAUUAAUAUAAAGUUUCAUUGUAGUUAUAGUUGUUACUCGGAUUUAGAUGAGAAACGAAGUAUGAUAAGGUUAAUCGUA